Long non-coding RNA from Gymnogyps californianus (California condor), 252 nucleotides. RefSeq lists it as uncharacterized. Lineage: Eukaryota; Metazoa; Chordata; Aves; Accipitriformes; Cathartidae. The transcript is spliced from 3 exons. The record is from RefSeq and is a predicted model, not a curated record.
CGCUACUGGAAGAUUAUUUAUAUUUUUUUUUCCUCGCUGUCUCCUAUGCCGGCAACGUCCUGCGAGUGGCUAUUUUGCAUUUGCACCGAGAGAAGGGCUUCCCCCCCCCCCUCCUCUUCUGACACUUAUGGAUGAAAUCCACACACUGAUGUCUAACCUGUAAUGAAAGCCAAUGAGUUACACCACAAACUCAGCUAUAACAGAACACAGAUUUUUACGUGGUGAUGGCAUAAAUGAAUCCAGAGAAUGUAG